UACAGAGGGUGCAAACGUUGCUCGGAAUCACUGGGCGUAAAGCGCGUGUAGGCGGCCUGGUAAGUCAGCUGUGAAAGCCCUCGGCUCAACCGAGGAAGUGCAGCUGAAACUGCCAGGCUAGAGUUCCGGAGAGGGUGGCGGAAUGCGUAGUGUAGAGGUGAAAUUCGUAGAUAUUACGUGGAACACCAGUGGCGAAGGCGGCCACCUGGAAGGAAACUGACGCUGAGACGCGAAAGCGUGGGGAGCAAACAGG
This 253-nucleotide unclassified non-coding RNA is filed under the name uncultured Myxococcales bacterium. Its description in RNAcentral is "contains 16S-23S intergenic spacer region". It matches the Rfam family "Bacterial small subunit ribosomal RNA", at positions 524 to 776 of the family's 1533-position model. The record is from RNAcentral. Lineage: Bacteria; Pseudomonadati; Myxococcota; Myxococcia; Myxococcales.